RNAcentral lists this long non-coding RNA (221 nucleotides) under Elaeis guineensis (African oil palm). RNAcentral describes it as "long non-coding RNA (EGUI_LNC003798)". The record is from RNAcentral. Lineage: Eukaryota; Viridiplantae; Streptophyta; Magnoliopsida; Arecales; Arecaceae.
GACCAGAGGAUAGAGAGCUCGUCCACAUUUAGAGCCGUUCGUAAGUAUUAUAUCUUCACUGAAUAUGUUUAAAAUUUAAUCAUUUUAGAGUCUAAUAUUUAUUAUUCAAAAUCAAUUUUACAAUAUAUUUAGAGAGUCUGGAAUGUCUCGUAUGGUUACCGGGAUCAUCCGAUAAUUAAUGUCAGGACCGAUGAACGAAUUCUUUAGUUGGCCGUCGGGGG